This 253-nucleotide ribosomal RNA is filed under the name uncultured bacterium. RNAcentral describes it as "partial 16S ribosomal RNA". It matches the Rfam family "Bacterial small subunit ribosomal RNA", at positions 524 to 776 of the family's 1533-position model. The record is from RNAcentral.
UACGUAGGUGGCAAGCGUUGUCCGGAUUUACUGGGCGUAAAGAGCGCGCAGGCGGUCGUUCAAGUCGCGUGUGAAAGCCCCCGGCUCAACUGGGGAGGGUCACGCGAUACUGAUCGACUCGAAGGCAGGAGAGGGUAGUGGAAUUCCCGGUGUAGUGGUGAAAUGCGUAGAUAUCGGGAGGAACACCGGUGGCGAAGGCGGCGACCUGGGACGAUACUGACACUGAGGCGCGACAGCGUGGGGAGCAAACAGG